Molecule: ribosomal RNA, 253 nt
Filed under: uncultured bacterium
Lineage: Bacteria
Description: partial 16S ribosomal RNA
Rfam family: Bacterial small subunit ribosomal RNA
Source: RNAcentral
UACGUAGGGUGCGAGCGUUGUCCGGAAUUAUUGGGCGUAAAGGGCUCGUAGGCGGUUUGUCGCGUCGGGAGUGAAAACCAGGUGCUUAACACCUGGCUUGCUUUCGAUACGGGCAGACUAGAGGCAUGCAGGGGAGAACGGAAUUCCUGGUGUAGCGGUGAAAUGCGCAGAUAUUAGGAGGAACACCGGUGGCGAAGGCGCUGCUCUGGGCCGAAACUGACGCUGAGGAGCGAAAGCGUGGGUAGCAAACAGG